GUGAGUAACGCGUAUGCAAUCUACCUACAACAAGGGGAUAACCCGUUGAAAGACGGACUAAUACCCUAUAAUACAGGGGUUCCGCAUGGGAAUAUUUGUUAAAGAUUCAUCGGUUGUAGAUGAGCAUGCGUUCCAUUAGCUUGUUGGUGAGGUAACGGCCCACCAAGGCAACGAUGGAUAGGGGAACUGAGAGGUUUAUCCCCCACACUGGUACUGAGACACGGACCAGACUCCUACGGGAGGCAGCAGUGAGGAAUAUUGGUCAAUGGACGCAAGUCUGAACCAGCCACGUCGCGUGAAGGAAGACGGCCCUACGGGUUGUAAACUUCUUUUGUAAGGGAAUAAAGUGAGUCACGAGUGACUUUUUGCAUGUACCUUACGAAUAAGGAUCGGCUAACUCCGUGCCAGCAGCCGCGGUAAUACGGAGGAUCCGAGCGUUAUCCGGAUUUAUUGGGUUUAAAGGGUGCGCAGGCGGGAGAUUAAGUCGGCGGUGAAAUUUUGCAGCUCAACUGUAAAAGUGCCUUCGAAACUGGUUUUCUUGAGUGUAGAUGAAGUAGGCGGAAUUUGUGGUGUAGCGGUGAAAUGCAUAGAUAUCACGAGGAACUCCGAUUGCGCAGGCAGCUUACUAAACUACUACUGACGCUCAGGCACGAAGGCGUGGGGAUCAAACAGGAUUAGAUACCCU
RNAcentral lists this ribosomal RNA (685 nucleotides) under uncultured bacterium. Its description in RNAcentral is "bacterial SSU rRNA". It matches the Rfam family "Bacterial small subunit ribosomal RNA", at positions 106 to 788 of the family's 1533-position model. The record is from RNAcentral.